GAACUAAACCGAAGUGGAAGCACAUAGGUAGGACUGUGUAAAUGUGAACAAGGUCCUGACACUUAACAGAAAGACAUUAAAAAGUCCAGUUCUUAUCCCCACUCUGCUCCUGGCCGCUGGGAUGCAGACAGCUGCAACCCUUCCCCUCUCAGCACCUUGGUUUCUCCCCUGACCUUGAGAGGGCGGGGUCGGACCCAUCAGGGACCGUCAUCCCUCUGGGGAGCUUUGUAAACGUCUCUGCUCUUGGCCCUGCCUCCAGAGUCUGAUUAGCUUGGCUGGAACUCUGUAAGUGCCUCCUCUCAAGUGACAUCCAGGUCUGACAUUCUGGUGCCUUCCCUGGCUCAGGGUCCUCAGAAUCUUGCCUGGAGGAUCAGAAAGCUCCAGUUUAAAGCUAGAGCAACAGAACCAGAGGUGCACAUAGGGAGAGCCCAGCAGAGACCUUUCGCCCUGUGGUCAGAGGUCUAGAUUCCAGUGCAGGAUGGAAAUCACCUCAUCAGCUACCCGGGAACAGGGUGUAAAGGGUUGGGAUUGCUCCCCAAGUUUGGGGGCUCAGGCAUCCUCUCCCCAUUCCUCAGCCCCCCUCUCCUCCUCAGCCCCCUCUCUCCUCAGCCUCAGGCGAUGAGGAGCCCUCUGGUGGGGACAGGAAGCAGGUUGCAGCUCCCUGGCCUAAGGAGAGCCUCCUGAGGGUGAGAUGGGAGUCUGGGGCCCCUCUGCCCCUUCUCCUUUCCCCACCUCUCUGCUUCCCUAGGCUCCCCGCCAAGGGGCUGGGACGGCACCCUAGCAGAUGGUGAAGCUGAGGCAGAGACAGGAGGGGCAGCCUGAAGUGCUGAAGGCAGCAGAAGGGGCCCUGAGGAAGAGGAGCCCAGAGCUGAGGGGUGACUGAGGCAGGUCACAUGGCCUGGAGGAGCCUGGUCACAUGACCAGGGCCAGCCUUCCCAUCAUCCCCUGUGGCCUCCUGCUCAGGCGCCACCCUGGGCAGAGGGAUUGCCAGGGACCACAGCUGGCUCUGAGGGGCCUGGGAGGGUACCACAGACCGCCCAGAACUUUUCUGCAGGUAUGCCCACCACUCCCCCAACCAUACCACUGCCUCUCCAGCCACACCCAGCUCUGGGGUUUUCUGGGCUGAUGCUGGCACACGACCAAGUCUGUUUGUGUUUGGCUUUGGCAUACCCUGCUUAUCUCUUUCCGUGCAUGUGUUUACUUAUUAGUAUGUAUGUACCUGUGUGGCCGAUCUUCCUCCCAGGCUAUGCUUGGUUCUGCCAGUAUGAAACAAACUAACACGGCUGACAGGAAACCAACCUAGGAGAAGGGCUUGCCGCAGAGGAGAAUGCUGGGAGCAGUGGGCAGGGGUGGUGAGGGGGGAGGGUCACCACAUCCAUUUCCAGGCGCACAGGAGGGGGCCCUCAAAGGUCCUGGACGGCUCGCCUCAGCCCUGAUGUGACCUGGAAGGAGAACCCACUGGGUCACUGGCCCUGGGAGCCUCCCCUAGGCCUGACCCCCCUCUUCCUGUCCCGCAGCCUCUGCCCAGCUUCCCUGUAUAGAUUUAUUUUGUCCCUUCUCAGAACAUAUGUUAUCUGUCCCUGAAGUCUGUCCCCGGGGGAGAGGUGGGGAAUUAAAGGGCCCCCUCGGCUGGAUUCCACUCACCAGAUGGGAAUGCAGUGAUAAGCACUGAAGAAUGAGAAUUUAUUCUUUCUUGCCCACCCACUAUUCCCUGCCACCCCCAUCCCUCUCCAGACAUUAGGCAUUUCCUCCAGAACCAAAGUUUUCGCCCUAAUGGAGCCACCAGAUCGCGCCUUGUGUGAAAUGGAUGCGACGGUUUCUUAAGGCAGAGGAGGCUGCGGUCUGGGGAGGAGGAGGCGAAGGCGGUGGAAGGGAGGAGUCGCCUUUCCAACAGAAGCCCCGCUUCCCUCAGCCUGUGGAAAUGGCCUGUGGGAAAAGCCCAAGCAUCUGAAUUGGAAGUAUCUGAAUUGGGUCGUUCUUCCCGUUGUAGGAAAUUCCCAAGAAGCAUCAGGCCGGUGCGGCCAAAGCCGAGGACCCGGUCAAAGCCGUGCCCGAGAAGAAGAAGUUCCGGCACCGGCCCGAGCCGCUCUUCAUCCCGCCGCCGCCCUCCUACCACCCCAACCCCGGCGCCUCGCACUCGGGCGCCACCCUGUACCAGAGCCAGCUGCGCUCCCCGCGCAUCCUGGGCGACCACCUGCUCCUGGACCCCGCCCUCGAGCUGCCCCCCUACACGCCCCCGCCCAUGCUGAGCCCGGUGCGCCAGGGCUCGGGGCUCUUCAGCAACGUGCUCAUCUCCGGCCACGGCCACGGCCCCGGCGCCCACCCGCAGCUGCCCCUCACGCCCCUGACGCCCACGCCGCGCGUGCUGCUCUGCCGCUCCAACAGCAUCGAUGGCAGCAACGUGACAGUCACCCCGGGGCCUGGAGAGCAGACUGUUGAUGUCGAACCGUAAGGAAAAGCCAAGUACCCUCUAGAACAGCAGGCUCAGCUGAGGAUGAAGAGCUGUGGGAAGGGUAGUUAGUACUUCGGGAGUCAGUGUGGCUGCUGGACAGGAAACUGGAGAAAGCGUAGGACCGUAGUAUUUCUCAAGUGCUGUUUGUUUCCCUGUAAUGGCGAGUGUUUCAAGACCUUUCUAAAGACUAAGUGCUUUGAAAGCAUGGAGCCUUGUAUUUGGCAAACCUAGCAUCCCUGUCUCCGGCUCCAAGGGCCAGUUUGGUUGGGGCUACAUGCGUUCACAUCCCAAGUGAUGCUGAGACAUCUCUGUUGGGGUGCCCAGCUCUCCACAUGCUGCAUCCAAAUGCCAUGCUCUCCUUGUCCUCUUCCGAAGAUUCUUGGCCAGUCCUCCAAGAGACCGGGCUUGAAUACUUGAGCUUGGUCGGGGGUGUGGGUAUAAUGGAAGAGAAAGGUGGUUAAUUUCAUGGGUAAGCACAGAAAAGGCCAGAUGGUAGAGUGCUGAAUAGAUGAGUCAGGAAUCAGAAAACCUGGUUCCAGCACAUUUCGUUACUUGCUGUUGAUCAAGGUAACCUUUCUAGGCUUUAGUUAACUCAUCUAUUAAAUAGGAAUCAUUUUCACUGCCUUGGUUAUUACAUCAUGGGUCUUUGUGGAGUUCAGAUGGGACCAUGUAUAUGGAGUGGUCUGGAAGGGAUAAAAAAUGAAAUAAGAACUUUGUAUUUGUCUCUGUGGGUUAAGUGGUACCAUCAGCCAUGCUCCGGGCAGCCUUGUUCCCUGGGAAUUAGCACCUUCCCCAGCCAGCUCUAAGGUUCCUUGAAGCCCCUUCUCCCUUGCUCCCUGCAGCAUCUCUCCCCAAUCUUAAAGCCGUUCCUUAUCCCGGUGAGAAGGCCAUGCCCAGACUUUUAGGAUCACACUGUGAGGAAAUGCCCCUGCCUCUUGUUCUUGGAGAAGGAACGGGUUUCCUUCUUUUUCAAGUCCCUGACAGUUGCCCUUGGCCUCAAGUUGAAGACCGCACUGUUGUUUUUCUUCUUGUCAUUAAAGGCGCAUCAACAUUGGCUUGAGAUUCCAAGCGGAAAUCCCAGAACUCCAGGAUGUCUCUGCCCUGGCCCAGGACACACACAAGGCCACCCUGGUAUGGAAGCCCUGGCCGGAGCUGGAAAACCAUGACCUCCAGCAAAGAGUGGAGACUCUCCUGAAUUUGUGCUGUUCAAGUGCAUUGCCAGGUGGCGGGACCAAUUCUGAAUUUGCUUUGCACUCUCUCUUCGAGGCCAAAGGUGAUGUCAUGGUAAGGAACCACGAAGAGCAGGCUUCCAGGCUCAUAUUCAUCAUGUCCGAAUUCUGAAAAGCACUUUCCCAAGAUGCUGCAUUGUUUUGUAUCAUACAGCCAGUUCAUAAGAUGAUGUCCAGCCAACGUGCCUGCCAUGGUCCUUAUCUCAAUGAGGAGGUCAGGAUUUAAGAGCCUGUAUGGGAGUUCCCAUCAUAGCUCAGUGGUUAACUAAUCUGACCAGGAUCCAUGAGGACGUGGGUUUGAUCCCUGGCC
RNAcentral lists this long non-coding RNA (3991 nucleotides) under Sus scrofa (pig). RNAcentral's name for it is "lncRNA (ENSSSCG00040065054.1)". The record is from RNAcentral. Lineage: Eukaryota; Metazoa; Chordata; Mammalia; Artiodactyla; Suidae.